GGAAGGGGGGUCGGAGGAGAGGUGAGAGGUUGCAGUUCAGAAGCAAGGAAGAUGCUGUAGCGCCUUUACAUCCGUCUCUCAUACGGAGAAAAAGGAGUGGUUGAAUAAAAACCAGGAGAGCGCGAAAGAGAAAGGAAUUGGGGGCGUUUCCCAGCGAUAUUUUUUUACAAUCAGCGUGGGUACAGUGAGGCAUGGACUUGCUCGAGAAACCUGAACAAAGGUGGAAGUGGAGAAACGGGAAACGGUUGCCGAGCACUCGCCGUGUGGGUGAUUGGCAACCUUGACAACGGAGAGAUGGAAUGACACUUGACCUCACGUGCUGAAUGGACAGAGAGAGACAUGGAGAGACCGAGCGAGAAGGAGACAUGAAGGGAAACUGAUAAUAAUUCUUCAUUGUAUAAUCGCCCCCCACCCGCUUCUCGCAAGGCAUCAUCAAUACCUCCAGCUGAGGCCCAGGCACUCUACACAGUAACACACAUGCAUGGACACGCACUCGCAGAGAAGCAAGCUGUGCCACUCCACAUCGAAUCUAUGAGCUCUCUGUGCCGCUUACCUCGGCUGCAGCACUGUGUUUUGGAUUGGAGGAUAACUCCCGUCGGCCGGGAGAGAACGGAGUGGGAGAGGGGAAACAGGCUCCGGAAUGAUCCAAUAUAACUCAAACCUGUUCUUAUGGCCGCACCUGUUGAAGUGUAUUAGAGGUUAAUGCCAACUUUGAAUGUGAUUCGGUUUCAUUAUUGCAUUUCGUUCACCGGUUUUGAUAUAAUUAGACACCAUGUCGAAUUUCUCCCUUUAAGAAGUGCAGUGUAAAACCUGUUUUGUUCCACCAGCUCUUUAUCCAUCACUUCUCCUAAGGCAAUCCACACUUCAUUUAUGGUGCUAAUGUGUGCGUGUACCUGUGUCGUAACUAGCCUAUCCAUAGGUCAUUCCCAUGCCAAAAACCUGUUAAACGGUAUAUCCCCAAUCAAUGUAAAUCUAUAUUUUAAACAUCUUUUUAUCUUUGCUGGGUUAACUCCAUUCAUAUCAUUUACCAAUGCAAUCACUAUCACUUUUGGGUAAUCCAAUAAUUUGAUACAUUUCAUCUCCAGCCACAUGGGGGCACUUUAGGCUUGUUUUCUAGGUCCAGUUGCAUGGUAUUGAAGCCUUCAUCGACUUUCGAAAAACCUGUAUACACUAUGUUACUUCAGAACCGAUUCUAUGUUAGAUGAUUCAAAUGCAAAUGAAUGUAGCCGUACAAUUUUUAAAAUGUAACACAAUGUGCCAUGUCCCCUCAGGUAUUUCUAAAAUCCCACCGGUUACGACAUUGCAAUGUCACACGAUGCAUAAAUAAACAUGCUAAAUUUUCAACAAUCAAUGUAACCAUGGCCUUCCAAGUAAUUUUACCACCCCAUCAUAUUUGGAAAUUAGAUGACUAAAGUUGCCUUCAGCUUUUCAGUGGACCUUUAAUGUAUGUGACUGUGUUAGUGUUUGUUAUGUUGUCUGGGCACAGCUUAACUGUUCAUGAGCUUCCAACUAAAUUGAUAUAGUGUACAAUAAUGAUAUUCUAAACACAGACAUACUCAUUGUAGGUAAACUAAAUACAUCACUUUAUUUGUCAUUUGGAAGAAAAACAAAUUUACAAAGGGCAACCAAUUCCAAAUAAUUGGCUAUUAUUACUAUAAGAAUCUAACAGCUUUUUGUUAUAUCCAAUAUAACAACUGCUCUUUAUUCGAAAAAUGAUACUGGUAAAUUCAAGAUCAUU
Long non-coding RNA from Osmerus eperlanus (European smelt), 1738 nucleotides. RefSeq lists it as uncharacterized. The transcript is spliced from 2 exons. NCBI's taxonomy places the organism in Eukaryota, Metazoa, Chordata, Actinopteri, Osmeriformes, Osmeridae. The record is from RefSeq and is a predicted model, not a curated record.